GAUGAACGCUAGCUACAGGCUUAACACAUGCAAGUCGAGGGGCAGCACUAGGUAGCAAUACUGAGGUGGCGACCGGCGCACGGGUGCGUAACGCGUAUCCAACCUUCCCGUUACUCUUGGAUAGCCUUCCGAAAGGGAGAUUAAUACAAGAUGGUAUUCAAAUUCCGCAUGUUAUUUGAAUUAAAGAUUUAUCGGUAACGGAUGGGGAUGCGUGACAUUAGGUAGAUGGCGGGGUAACGGCCCACCAUGCCUACGAUGUCUAGGGGUUCUGAGAGGAAGGUCCCCCACACUGGAACUGAGACACGGUCCAG
Molecule: ribosomal RNA, 311 nt
Filed under: uncultured bacterium
Lineage: Bacteria
Description: bacterial SSU rRNA
Rfam family: Bacterial small subunit ribosomal RNA
Source: RNAcentral